This 107-nucleotide small nucleolar RNA is filed under the name Gossypium hirsutum (cotton). RNAcentral's name for it is "Plant small nucleolar RNA R71". It matches the Rfam family "Plant small nucleolar RNA R71". Rfam says of the family: R71 is a member of the C/D box family of snoRNAs containing the C (UGAUGA) and D (CUGA) box motifs. Lineage: Eukaryota; Viridiplantae; Streptophyta; Magnoliopsida; Malvales; Malvaceae. The record is from Rfam by way of RNAcentral.
AUCCCAUGAUAAGGACACUUACAAAGUAAUUCCUUAAAUCUUUCCCACGCCUCAUAAAGAGAUCUGUCAUCCAAUUGUCGGAAAGUUGUUAUCUCAUUACGCAACUU